GGGGCAGAUGCGGUCACCGGGAUGGCGGGCCUGCUGGCCUGGAGCCAGGCGCCGACCCGGGCGCUCGGGCGGUUCGAAUCCGACACGCUCCCC
This 93-nucleotide transfer RNA is filed under the name Mycobacterium marinum. Its description in RNAcentral is "tRNA-OTHER". Lineage: Bacteria; Bacillati; Actinomycetota; Actinomycetes; Mycobacteriales; Mycobacteriaceae. The record is from RNAcentral.